GACGAACGCUGGCGGCGUGCUUAACACAUGCAAGUCGAACGAAAAGAGGGAAAGAGCUUGCUCUUUCCGGAAUUGAGUGGCAAACGGGUGAGUAACACGUAAACAACCUGCCUUCAGGAUGGGGACAACAGACGGAAACGACUGCUAAUACCGAAUAAGUUCCAAGGGCCGCAUGGCCCAUGGAAGAAAAGGUGGCCUCUACCUGUAAGCUAUCGCCUGAAGAGGGGUUUGCGUCUGAUUAGCUGGUUGGAGGGGUAACGGCCCACCAAGGCGACGAUCAGUAGCCGGUCUGAGAGGAUGAACGGCCACACUGGAACUGAGACACGGUCCAGACUCCUACGGGAGGCAGCAGUGGGGAAUCUUCCGCAAUGGGCGAAAGGCUGACGGAGCAACGCCGCGUGAGUGAUGACGGCCUUCGGGUUGUAAAACUCUGUGAUCCGGGACGAAAAGGCAGAGUGCGAAGAACAAACUGCAUUGACGGUACCGGAAAAGCAAGCCACGGCUAACUACGUG
RNAcentral lists this ribosomal RNA (513 nucleotides) under uncultured bacterium. Its description in RNAcentral is "partial 16S ribosomal RNA". It matches the Rfam family "Bacterial small subunit ribosomal RNA", at positions 28 to 507 of the family's 1533-position model. The record is from RNAcentral.